Molecule: ribosomal RNA, 407 nt
Filed under: uncultured bacterium
Lineage: Bacteria
Description: partial 16S ribosomal RNA
Rfam family: Bacterial small subunit ribosomal RNA
Source: RNAcentral
GACGAACGCUGGCGGCGUGCCUAAUACAUGCAAGUAGAACGCAGUUGCGAACGGGUGAGUAACGCGUAGGUAACUGCCUGGUAGCGGGGGAUAACUAUUGGAAACGAUAGCUAAUACCGAACACGACCAGAUGGACCUGCGUUGUAUUAGCUCGUUGGGGGGGUAACGGCUCACAAAGGCAACGAUACAUAGCCGAACUGAGAGGGUGAUCGGCCACACUGGGACUGAGACACGGCCCAGACUCCUUCGGGAAGCCGCAGUAGGGAAGCUUCGGCAAUGGACGGAAGUCUGACCCAGCAACGCCGCGUGAGUUAAGAAGGUUUUCGGAUCGUAAAGCUCUUUUGUAAUAGAAGCGGUAUCUUACCAGUAAGCGACGGCUAACUACGUGCCAGCCGCCGCGGUAAUUC